RNAcentral lists this ribosomal RNA (254 nucleotides) under uncultured bacterium. RNAcentral describes it as "partial 16S ribosomal RNA". It matches the Rfam family "Bacterial small subunit ribosomal RNA", at positions 524 to 776 of the family's 1533-position model. The record is from RNAcentral.
GACGUAGGGGGGCGAGCGUUGUCCGGAUUUAUUGGGCGUAAAGAGCGCGUAGGCGGCCCGGAAAGUCGGAUGUGAAAACCCGGGGCUCAACCCCGGGCCUGCAUCCGAUACUCCCGGGCUGGAGGCAGGUAGGGGAGAUCGGAAUUCCUGGUGUAGCGGUGAAAUGCGCAGAUAUCAGGAGGAACACCGGUGGCGAAGGCGGAUCUCUGGGCCUGUCCUGACGCUGAGGCGCGAAAGCUAGGGGAGCGAACAGG